CGCUGGCGGCGUGCCUAACACAUGCAAGUCGAGCGGAGUUAACAAGAGGAAGUUUCGGAUGGAAUUUUGUAAUUUAGCGGCGGACGGGUGAGUAACGCGUGAGCGACCAACCUUGCACAGGGGGAUAACGGACCGAAAGGUUCACUAAUACCGCAUGAGACCACGGUGUUGCAUGACACAGAGGUCAAAGGAGCAAUCCGGUGCAAGACGGGCUCGCGUCCGAUUAGGUAGUUGGUGGGGUAAUGGCCCACCAAGCCUAUGAUCGGUAGCCGACCUGAGAGGGUGAUCGGCCACAUUGGAACUGAGAUACGGUCCAAACUCCUACGGGAGGCAGCAGUGGGGAAUAUUGGGCAAUGGGGGGAAACCCUGACCCAGCAACGCCGCGUGAAGGAAGAAGGUUUUCGGAUUGUAAACUUCUGUCCUUGGUGAAGAGAAGAAGACGGUAGCCAAGGAGGAAGCCCCGGCUAACUACGUGCCAGCCGCCGC
RNAcentral lists this ribosomal RNA (486 nucleotides) under uncultured bacterium. Its description in RNAcentral is "bacterial SSU rRNA". It matches the Rfam family "Bacterial small subunit ribosomal RNA", at positions 34 to 518 of the family's 1533-position model. The record is from RNAcentral.